UCGAUGUUCGCUGUUCGCGGGAAUGGUUUAAAGGAAAAAACAAAUUGGGCUAAUCUAAAAAAUCGUGGAGAGAAAUAAUAGGAUUAAAAAAUUUUUAAAAAUUUAAAGUUUAUUAUUAUAAUAAGCUUUGUUUUUUGAAGAAUAAAGUUUAUUGUUAUUAUAAUCUUUAUCUUUUUUAAAUUUUUAAAGUUUAACAAUUAAACUUAUAACAAUAAAAUUGUAACAAUCCUUUUAUUUACUCUCGCUGCAAAAUUAAUUUGGCUCCUGGCAAUUGUCAGAAAUUUAGCGAAUUAUAACUUUUGUGAAUCUAUAGUUAUAAUUAAUUAUUGUGAUUUCUUUUGCAAAGGAUAUUUAGAAUGUUAUCAGCUGUCAUUAAUUUUUAAAUUUCAGAUUUUAUUUCGGGAUUUUGAAUUCUAAAAUUAUCAAUGUAAUCAUUAUUAAUGACAGCUUAAUUACCAGCAGUCUCGGUAAUUACAGCUCAGCUAACUAUCUAAAUAAAAGAUAUCUGGUUGAUCCUGCCUGAACUGAUGUGUUCAUUUCAAAGAUUAAGCCAUGCAUGUAUAAGUUUAAUCGUUUUAACGAGAAACCGCGAACGGCUCAUUACAAUGGCCAUGAUUUACUUGAUCUUGAUUAUCUAAAUGGAUAACUGUGGAAAAGCUAGAGCUAAUACAUGCACCAAAGCUUUGUCCUCUCGGAAAAGCGCAUUUAUUAGAACAAAACCACGCGGCUUCGGCUGCUUCUUGUUGACUCAGAAUAACUAAGCUGACCGCAUGGCCUUGUGCCGGCGGCGUGUCUUUCAAGCGUCCACUUUAUCAACUUGACGGGAGCAUAAUCGACUCCCGUGGUGGUGACGGAUAACGGAGGAUCAGGGUUCGACUCCGGAGAAGGGGCCUGAGAAAUGGCCACUACGUCUAAGGAUGGCAGCAGGCGCGCAAAUUACCCACUCUCGGCUCGAGGAGGUAGUGACGAGAAAUAACGAGAUCGUUCUCUUUGAGGCCGGUCAUCGGAAUGGGUACAAUUUAAACCCUUUAACGAGUAUCAAGCAGAGGGCAAGUCUGGUGCCAGCAGCCGCGGUAAUUCCAGCUCUGCUAAUACAUAGAAUUAUUGCUGCGGUUAAAAAGCUCGUAGUUGGAUUCGUAUCGGUACCCUGGAACCCUCCGGGUGUUUCUGGGUGUUGUCGAUUUAUCGUAAUGUUCGGUUUUGAGUCCUUAACAGGAUUCUUAACAGGCAUUGCAAGUUUACUUUGAACAAAUCAGAGUGCUUCAAACAGGCGUUUUCGCUUGAAUGAUCGUGCAUGGAAUAAUAGAAAACGAUUUCGGUUCAGUUUUAUUGGUUUUACGGACUGAGAUAAUGGUUAACAGAGACAAACGGGGGCAUUUGUAUGGCCCCGUGAGAGGUGAAAUUCUUGGACCGUGGCCAGACAAACUACAGCGAAAGCAUUUGCCAAGAAUGUCUUCAUUAAUCAAGAACGAAAGUUGUGUCCCGUGUGCUCCACAUGAGCCGUGAAAAUGCGAGGGAGGCAAUUUAAAAUCUCCUGCCUGAUCGUACCCAUAUCCGCAGCAGGUCUCCAAGGUGAACAGCCUCUAGUCGAUAGAAUAAUGUAGGUAAGGGAAGUCGGCAAAUUAGAUUCGUAACUUCGGGAAAAGAAUUGGCUCUAAAGGUUGAGUCAGUCGGGCUGUUGUGUGAAACAGGUGGACUUUGCUCGUGGCUGCUUGAGCUUCCUUACGGGGCGGCGCUUGUGGACUAGUAGUGAGGACUGCUUGUGGAGUGCUUCAGCUGCGUGCUAUUUCGCAAGAUAUAGUACUUCGAUUGGCGCUGAACAACCAGUUUAGAACUGGCACGAACUCCGGGAAUCCGACUGUCUAAUUAAAACAGAGGAGACGGAUGGUCCUUGCAGGACGUUGACCGUGUCUGAUUUCUGCCCAGUGCUCUGAAUGUUAAGCCAAGGAAACUUGAUUAAGCGCGGGUAAACGGCGGGAGUAACUAUGACUCUCUUAAGGUAGCCAAAUGCCUCGUCGGCUAACUACCGACGCGCACGAAUGGAUCAACGAGAUUCCCACUGUCCCUAUCUACUAUCUAGCGAAACCACAGCCAAGGGAACGGGCUUGGCAAUUUAGCGGGAAAGAAGACCCUGUUGAGCUUGACUCUAGUCUGACUUUGUGAAGAAUCAUGAGAGGUGUAGCAUAAGUGGGAGUCGCAAGACAACAGUGAAAUACCACUACUUUCAUCGAUUCCUUACUUAAUCGGUAAAACGGGAGUUGUGUCUAAGGACCUUCAUUUUUGUUUUAAGACUAGCCACUCGGUGGUUGGUUGACUCGCGCCGAUGACAUUGUCAGGCGGGGAGUUUGACUGGGGCGGUACAUCUGUCAAAUUGUAACGCAGGUGUCCUAAGGCGAGCUCAGAGAGGACGGAAACCUCUCGUUGAGCAAAAAGGCAAAUGCUUACUUGAUCUUGAUUUUCAGUACGAAUACAGACCGCGAAAGCGUGGCUUAUCGAUCCUUUUGAGUUUGUAAAGUUUACAGCAAGAGGUGUCAGAAAAGUUACCACAGGGAUAACUGGCUUGUGGCGGCCAAGCGUCCAUAGCGACGUCGCUUUUUGAUCCUUCGAUGUCGGCUCUUCCUAUCAUUGCGAAGCAGAAUUCGCCAAGCGUUGGAUUGUUCACCCACCAAUAGGGAACGUGAGCUGGGUUUAGACCGUCGUGAGACAGGUUAGUUUUACCCUACUAAAUACUUGUUGCUAUGAUGGUAAUCCUGCUUAGUACGAGAGGAACCGCAGGUUCAGACAUUUGGUUCAUGUGCUUGGUCGAUAGGCCAAUGGCGCGAAGCUACCAUCUGAGGGAUUAUGACUGAACGCCUCUAAGUCAGAAUCCCGCCCAGUCAUGAUAGCAAUAUAUAUCGCUCUCCGGUGUCGGAAGGCAAAAUGUAUGCCAUUUUUUGU
Molecule: ribosomal RNA, 2937 nt
Filed under: Meloidogyne arenaria
Lineage: Eukaryota; Metazoa; Nematoda; Chromadorea; Rhabditida; Meloidogynidae
Description: eukaryotic LSU rRNA
Rfam family: Eukaryotic large subunit ribosomal RNA (bases 1082-2937)
Source: RNAcentral